RNAcentral lists this ribosomal RNA (429 nucleotides) under Bacteroidota bacterium. RNAcentral describes it as "Bacteroidetes bacterium partial 16S ribosomal RNA". It matches the Rfam family "Bacterial small subunit ribosomal RNA", at positions 355 to 776 of the family's 1533-position model. Lineage: Bacteria; Pseudomonadati; Bacteroidota. The record is from RNAcentral.
UAGGGAAUCUUCCGCAAUGGGCGAAAGCUUGACGGAGCAACGCCGCGUGAGUGAUGAAGGUCUUCGGAUCGUAAAACUCUGCUAUUAGGGAAGAACAAAUGUGUAAGUAACUAUGCACGUCUUGACGGUACCUAAUCAGAAAGCCACGGCUAACUACGUGCCAGCAGCCGCGGUAAUACGUAGGUCCCGAGCGUUGUCCGGAUUUAUUGGGCGUAAAGCGAGCGCAGGCGGUCAAUUAAGUCUGAUGUGAAAGCCCCCGGCUCAACCGGGGAGGGUCAUUGGAAACUGGUUGACUUGAGUGCAGAAGAGGAGAGUGGAAUUCCAUGUGUAGCGGUGAAAUGCGUAGAUAUAUGGAGGAACACCAGUGGCGAAGGCGACUCUCUGGUCUGUAACUGACGCUGAGGCUCGAAAGCGUGGGUAGCAAACAGG